RNAcentral lists this ribosomal RNA (810 nucleotides) under uncultured archaeon. Its description in RNAcentral is "bacterial SSU rRNA". It matches the Rfam family "Archaeal small subunit ribosomal RNA", at positions 85 to 879 of the family's 1478-position model. The record is from RNAcentral.
ACGGCUCAGUAACACGUGGCUAAUCUGCCCUUGGGACAAGAACAACCCCGGGAAACUGGGGCUAAUUCUCGAUAGGUGAAGAACUCUGGAAUGAGUCUUUGCCUAAAAGAGCCUACGUUAUGCUCGUAGGUUUCGCCCAAGGAUGAGGCCGCGACCGAUCAGGUUGUUGGUGAGGUAAUGGCUCACCAAGCCCUUUACCGGUGCGGGCCGUGAGAGCGGGAGCCCGGAGAUGGGCACUGAGACAAGGGCCCAGGCCCUACGGGGCGCAGCAGUCGCGAGAACUUUGCAAUACACGAAAGUGUGACAGGGCUAUCCCGAGUGCCAUCCGCUGAGGAAGGCUUUUACCCAGUCUAGAACGCUGGGGGAAUAAGGAGAGGGCAAGUCUGGUGUCAGCCGCCGCGGUAAUACCAGCUCUCCGAGUGGUGUGGAUGUUUAUUGGGCCUAAAGCAUCCGUAGCUGGCUGAGUUAGUCCCUUGUUAAAUCCACCGAAUUAAUCGUUGGAUUGCGGGGGAUACUGCUCGGCUAGGGGACGAGAGAGGCAGACGGUAUUUCCGGGGUAGGGGUGAAAUCCUAUAAUCCCGGGAAGACCACCAGUGGCGGAGGCUGUCUGCUAGAACGCGCCCGACGGUGAGGGAUGAAAGCUGGGGGAGCGAACCGGAUUAGAUACCCGGGUAGCCCCAGCUGUAAACGAUGCAGGCUAGGUGUUUGGACGGCCACGUGCCGUUCUAGUGCCGCAGGGAAGCUGUUAAGCCUGCCGCCUGGGGAGUACGAUCGCAAGAUUGAAACUUAAAGGAAUUGGCGGGGGAGCAC